This 207-nucleotide ribosomal RNA is filed under the name uncultured bacterium. RNAcentral's name for it is "partial 16S ribosomal RNA". It matches the Rfam family "Bacterial small subunit ribosomal RNA", at positions 568 to 774 of the family's 1533-position model. The record is from RNAcentral.
CACGUAGGCGGCUCUUUAAGUCAGGGGUGAAAUCCUGGAGCUCAACUCCAGAACUGCCUUUGAUACUGAGGGGCUUGAGUCCGGGAGAGGUGGGUGGAACUGCGAGUGUAGAGGUGAAAUUCGUAGAUAUUCGCAAGAACACCAGUGGCGAAGGCGGCUCACUGGCCCGGUACUGACGCUGAGGUGCGAAAGCGUGGGGAGCAAACA